This 487-nucleotide ribosomal RNA is filed under the name Aspergillus sp. BAB-3376. Its description in RNAcentral is "eukaryotic LSU rRNA". The stretch from base 124 to 278 matches the Rfam family "5.8S ribosomal RNA". The record is from RNAcentral. Lineage: Eukaryota; Fungi; Ascomycota; Eurotiomycetes; Eurotiales; Aspergillaceae.
GGGCCCGCCGUUUCGACNGNCGCCGGGGAGGCCUUGCGCCCCCGGGCCCGCGCCCGCCGAANACCCCAACAUGAACGCUGUUCUGAAAGNAUGCAGUCUGAGUUGAUUAUCGUAAUCAGUUAAAACUUUCAACAACGGAUCUCUUGGUUCCGGCAUCGAUGAAGAACGCAGCGAAAUGCGAUAAGUAAUGUGAAUUGCAGAAUUCAGUGAAUCAUCGAGUCUUUGAACGCACAUUGCNNCCCCCUGGUAUUCCGGGGGGCAUGCCUGUCCGAGCGUCAUUGCUGCCCUCAAGCACGGCUUGUGUGUUGGGCCCCCGUCCCCCUCUCCCGGGGGACGGGCCCGAAAGGCAGCGGCGGCACCGCGUCCGGUCCUCGAGCGUAUGGGGCUUUGUCACCUGCUCUGUAGGCCCGGCCGGCGCCAGCCGACACCCAACUUUAUUUUUCUAAGGUUGACCUCNGGAUCAGGUAGGGAUACCCGCUGAACUUAA